CUAACUACGUGCCAGCAGCCGCGGUAAUACGUAGGUGGCAAGCGUUGUCCGGAAUUAUUGGGCGUAAAGCGAGCGUAGGCGGUUUCUUAAGUCUGAUGUGAAAGCCCCCGGCUCAACCGGGGAGGGUCAUUGGAAACUGGGAAACUUGAGUGCAGAAGAGGAAAGUGGAAUUCCAUGUGUAGCGGUGAAAUGCGCAGAGAUAUGGAGGAACACCAGUGGCGAAGGCGACUUUCUGGUCUGUAACUGACGCUGAUGUGCGAAAGCGUGGGGAUCAAACAGGAUUAGAUACCCUGGUAGUCCACGCCGUUUUUUUAUGAGUGCUAAGUGUUAGGGGGUUUCCGCCCCUUAGUGCUGCAGCUAACGCAUUAAGCACUCCGCCUGGGGAGUACGACCGCAAGGUUGAAACUCAAAGGAAUUGACGG
Molecule: ribosomal RNA, 422 nt
Filed under: Staphylococcus xylosus
Lineage: Bacteria; Bacillati; Bacillota; Bacilli; Caryophanales; Staphylococcaceae
Description: bacterial SSU rRNA
Rfam family: Bacterial small subunit ribosomal RNA
Source: RNAcentral